UGAAUAUCAAACACAUGGCAGAGUUGUUCUUUAGGCACUGUUGAUCAGCACACAUGUGGAUUAAAAUGUCAAGAAGACAGGAGAAGGAGCGUGCUGGAAUAUUUUAUGGAUGUUAGAAACAAUUUUUUACUGAUGCUAGCAAGCAUGCAUUUGCACACUGCAGUCAGUGCACAACGGAGCCAAAGGUGCUGUUUUGUUUACAUGUAACAUUAGCUAGCCAUUUGUUUGAGUUGUGCCCCAUCUGACAGUGAAAUGUGGCUAGCUCUUACCGCAGCUUGGACUAUGGAGAAGCUAGAGAUGCAAAAGCCCAUUGCAUGCUUUUGCAAGUGUCUAUGUGGCGAUCCCCCUGCUUGUAGAGGCCAUGGUAUUCAGGGUUCGCAGUGGAGCUGGGCCAGGGCUUGGCCAGUGCCGUGGGAUGGAGUGACUGCAGCCCUCCCCUCCGGGCAGCUCCAUGCAGUGGCGCUGACUCUGUCAUCUCACUCCAGAGCAAAGAAACAGAGAGGAUCCAGGCAGAAUUCACAGCUACUGACCCCACAGGGUGCCGUGAACUGGGCCCAUGUGAUAUGACUGCAUGCUCUUUUUCUAUUGAGAGAGUGCUGUCGGUUGCACAUUCCUGAUACCAAUAUAAACCAUAAGUUAAGCAAAAGUAACUUUCCAGGGCCUAUUCUUCAGUGAGAAAUAUGUACUUUUGUUAAGCUUUGUGCCUUAGGGACGCAUCGAAAUUCACAGAAUGGUUACCUGGAGGAAAAUGGUGGAAGGUCAUGGUUUUUCAAUUUUAGGCAAGGGGAGGCUUUAGUAUUUUUUAAACCUAGUUCAUGGGAGGGUCAUGUAAUUUGUAAUUGAUGAAAUGUAAAUAUUUCAAAGUGCUUAGCAAUUAGUUGCUUACUAGGCUACAUAUCAUCUGAUUCUCUGCUGGGCACGCAAUAUCAAGUGCACCUAUAUACUAUUUAGUGUGGUAUUAAUCAAAUGAUCCGUAGCCUAUAGACUAUAGGCUAUGAAGUGCAUGCUCAGAGAAGCACAGAGCAAAGUUAUAUUUCUAAGAUAGCUGAGGGAUGGUGUGAAUAAAGCUAGGCUGCAUUACACACUGCAAUGGAUAAUCAAAUGUUUUAUUUUUAGCCCUUGUUUCUCCCCAAUUUGUAGUUAGUCUUGUCCCAUCUCUGCAACUCAAGUACGGACUCUGGAGAGGCGAAGUCAGCUUGCAGGCGUCUCUAGAGCCCGAUGGGACAAGGAAAUCCAAGGCCGGCCAAACCCUCCGCUAACCCAAAUGACGCUGGGCCAAUUGUGCACCGCCUCAUGGGUCUCCCGGUCACGGCCGAUUGUGACACAGCCUGGGAUUGAACCCGGGGCUGUAGUGAUGCCUCAAGCACUGUGAUGCUGUGCCUUAGACCGCUGCGCCACUCGGAGGGCUGUGCAAUGGAUAUUCUAACCCUGAACCCCGGCCUGCUCUGCUCUUACUGAUCAAAACCUUUUUUGUGUGCUGCUUAACCAAUGGUUGUGCUUUGUAGGGCUACAGUGGCAUUUCAGGAGGAGAGUCAAGCGUUUCUAAUAAAAAAUGCACCAUCUUGCAAGCGGACUAGCUUAUAGACUAUGUUCUGUUCAGUUUGAAAAGGAGGGCACGAAGAUGAGGAGGACCGGAGAUCAACUUUGAUAGCUUGCUACUACUAUAAUAGAUUUUAUUAAA
This 1681-nucleotide long non-coding RNA is filed under the name Salmo salar (Atlantic salmon). RNAcentral's name for it is "lncRNA (ENSSSAG00000115790.1)". The record is from RNAcentral. Lineage: Eukaryota; Metazoa; Chordata; Actinopteri; Salmoniformes; Salmonidae.